RNAcentral lists this long non-coding RNA (246 nucleotides) under Prunus dulcis (almond). RNAcentral's name for it is "sRNA ncRNA". Lineage: Eukaryota; Viridiplantae; Streptophyta; Magnoliopsida; Rosales; Rosaceae. The record is from RNAcentral.
AUGAUUGCCUGUUUAGAUAUGGCUAUAGUUGAAAACUUUAUCCUUCAGCAUUCUUCUGGAUAUUUGACUUGGUCUUUGUGUCACAGAGAUUUUGACAUCUUCUCUGGAUAUUUGAGUGCAGCAACUGUUGGGAGCACGAAUUUGGUGUUUCACUUUCUCUAAACUCUGUUUUUUGGACUAACUAGCUUAAUGAUAGCUCUCUUUCCUGUGUUGAAACAUGCCCUAUCUUUGAAUCCCCCUUGCUAA